ACAACUCAGUUGGCAUUCAAGUAGAUGAUCCGAACGAACUGAAUAUUUGUGAUACCUGUCAUAAAAGGAAAUAUUCUGAAUACUGUCAUUGUGAAUGUACAAAAAAUGUUAAACACAUUUUAUUGCCGAUGCAUGAAGAAUCACCUCCAUCUGUUGAAGGACCAUCGUAUGUUGAAAGACCUUCAUCUGUUGAAAGACCAUCUUCUGUUGAAAGACUAUCAUCUGUUAAAAGACCACCUCCUGUUAAAAGACCACCACUUGUUAAAAAACCACCAUCUGUUGAAGAACCAACAUCUGUUGAAGGAUCACCAUCUGUUGAAAGACAACCAUCUGUUGAAGGACCAUCAUCUGCUGAAGGAGCAUCAUCUGCUGAAGGAGCAUCAAAUGUAGCCUUUACUGUUCCACAAGCUAAGUGUAGCUGUUUUCAAAGUCAUACUUUAUACGAAUCCUUGACUAUGCAUCGCCCAUUGUUCUUAAAACGAUGUGCAUUGCGACAAACGAAGAUAAAAACAAGUGUGACACAUUCUUCUGUGCCUUCUACUAUUUCUGUAAAAAGCCCCCGAUCCAUUUUAAAGCAUGAGUCCAAGUUAGAGCAAAAAAAGACGAGAAUACCAAUUAAGGUUGUAACUAUCUCUGAGAAGAUUCAAAAAUCUGAGGUUGAUGAAAGUGAUGAAUUAAAACCAAUGAAGACAGGAAAGAAAACAUAGGUGAGAACACAUUAUGCAGUGGUCGACCAAGUUGCCAUUAAAUACUAUGAAAUAGUUUGAAAAGAAGUAGAUUCAUAGGAAGAACUUAUAUUUCUGAAAAGAAAAAAAAGCAAGACAGGGAGGAUGAGUAUAAAAAGAAUAGAGAAAAGGGGAAAUUAUUCUCUAAAAAAUUGGCAAAAGCUGCUGCACGCGGCAAAGUAAAUUAUCGGGUAAAUGAGCGAGUCGUUCAUUUUGACUGAUUAUACUAUCAUUAGUGAAAACUGGAGCUUAUAUUAAAUAUAUAUAUACUUUUUAGACAUUUUUACACUUUCUACACUUUCUUUUAUAUUAUGACUUUUUUAUCACUCGUCACUGAGUGUCUUAACCAGUGAA
RNA transcript from Uloborus diversus, 1079 nucleotides. RefSeq lists it as uncharacterized. The record is from RefSeq and is a predicted model, not a curated record. The transcript has 6 exons. Lineage: Eukaryota; Metazoa; Arthropoda; Arachnida; Araneae; Uloboridae.